UGACUCUUUCAAGUAUGUUUACUGGGAACUCAUUCUUUUAUAAUAUUCAUAAACCAUAGAUUUAAAAACUAUGAAAUACGCAUUUGUUAUAUUGAUAGAAUUAGCCUUUGGUUGAUUAUUGGAUAACGUGAAAGACAAAUAAAGCCACUCACCCAAAACAUGUAUGUGAUUGCAAAUGAGACAAGUAUCGAUACAUAUAAAACAUCAAAGAUGUGAAUAUAUACAGGAUACCGUACGGCCUUUACAAUUGGGGAAAACCUAUACUUCCUAGUAAGGUUACAAAAAGACUGCUACCAGUUUGAAGAAUCUUAAUCGUAUUUGAUAGUUUUAUAAUUAAUAAGAAAAAAGUGUAUGUUACAAGGGG
RNAcentral lists this long non-coding RNA (364 nucleotides) under Mytilus galloprovincialis (Mediterranean mussel). Lineage: Eukaryota; Metazoa; Mollusca; Bivalvia; Mytilida; Mytilidae. The record is from RNAcentral.